This 373-nucleotide unclassified non-coding RNA is filed under the name soil metagenome. Its description in RNAcentral is "partial contains internal transcribed spacer 2 and large subunit ribosomal RNA". The stretch from base 1 to 120 matches the Rfam family "5.8S ribosomal RNA", at positions 35 to 154 of the family's 154-position model. The record is from RNAcentral.
GAUGAAGAACGUAGCGAAAUGCGAUAAUUAAUGUGAAUUGCAGAAUUCCGUGAAUCAUCGAGUCUUUGAACGCACAUUGCGCCUCAUGGCAUUCCGUGAGGCAUGCCCAUCUCAGCGUUAGAAAAUAUUCUCAAAUUUUAGUUUUGUGCUAAAAUUUGGAUCAUGUCAAAGAAGCUAUUACUAUUAUUGUGAUCGCUCUUUGGAAAUUGAUAGGUCUUUGAGUUGCUACUCAUAGAACGUGAUGAAUCUUUCUUCGUUCUAUUGUAAUUCACUCUGGUAGUCCUAAAACUUGUAUGCCUGUGGCAUAUCUUGUAAUUUGACCUGAGAUUGGGUAGGGAUACCCGCUGAACUUAAGCAUAUCAAUAACGGAGGA